RNAcentral lists this long non-coding RNA (2241 nucleotides) under Helianthus annuus (common sunflower). Its description in RNAcentral is "hypothetical non coding rna". The record is from RNAcentral. Lineage: Eukaryota; Viridiplantae; Streptophyta; Magnoliopsida; Asterales; Asteraceae.
UUUGAAUCUGAUUCAAGCUCUCUAAGUGGAAGUAUAUGCUUCCUACCUGAGAGAGAAUCGGGUUCAAAUCUUGCGGGGACCUUCUGUAAGUAUUCUUUCGUGUUUUUCAUUCGUCUUAGUCAAACUGCGUUUGACUUUCUGCAUUGACCAGUUUAUGGUCAAUGCGAAGUUCGUUUGAACUUCAUAACGUGAGCGUAAUCACGAUGGUUAUAGUCCCUAGUGACUAUACCUACUGAUUACCACGUUAUCUAGGCUCAGUGACGAGUCGUAGUUUCGGCCAAAAUGCGUUUUCUCGCGUAUUUUGUAACCAAACUACUCUAGGGUAUUAAAACCAUUUGUUUUAAUACCAAACUUGUUUUCUAACUUAACUAAACAUUUUCUAGCAUGUUUAGCUCGUCACUUUUUAGAUUAGUGCUUAUGUAGGGUCGUAAGGUAAGCGAUCUAAACAAUCGCUUAUACUUUCGAACUCGACCCGUUUGGUCGAUCAUUAGGAUCCGACCAAACAUGUUUAGUGACCAUAGUUGUAUAGGGAAUAACCUUCCGAGGUUAUACCUUAUGGUCACUUCGUUUAAGUAGUUGUAUGAUAAGUAGUUUAUAUGCCUUAGGUAAAUUACCAAAAUGCCCUUUUCAUACAUAAUUGGUAAUUAAGCAUAUGUAACCUAAAUUUUUGUCUCAUAACUGAUUAUGUAACAUAUUUAAACAUGUUUUAGCAUAUAAUGCUUGUUAUAGGGCUAGUUAGACGUCUCGAACGCGUUUUACGCAAACGACGCGUUAAAGUAGCGCAAGCUACCUAAACGGGUCGUGAUGGGUCGUAAGCACUUAGGAUAGGUUUCAUUUUAGUAUGUAGGCCUUGUUAAACCAUAUCAUAUGAGUUCCCACACUCAUUCGGUUUACGAGACCUCAUACUAUCCGAUCUCCCGAUUUAGGUCCGGUUUAUUUACGUAGUUAUCUAUACUAGGUGCCGUUUGAUUCCGGGACUCCUCUAGCUUGCUUGGUAGUUGCUCAAGACUUCUAAGCACUCUCAAGUGAGUACAUAGUCCCCUCUUUUACUGUUUUCAACUGUUUUGGGGUGAAGCAUGUGUACCUAUCUGUUAUUUUCAUGAUUUCAAAGUAUAAUUGAUUAUACAUGUUAGUACUUAUCUUUUGGCAAACUAAAUGACUAUCUAUGGUUUAAACACUGAUUUUUCAAAGAUUAUGAAAUUAAUUGUUGGAAUAGUACUUAUUUUUGUUCACCAGACCGGUUGGUAGUAUGAUAUAGCGCUAUAGGAUUUGACGCCCCAUUCCUGUUGUCAUGGAAUGUCUGAAACCAAUUUGUUGCUCCAUCCAAAUAGGGAUUGCCUUUGUGGUAUUUCUAUAGUCUCAAAGUUAUACUCCCAAAAGUAUAGUUUGAUAUGCUCUCAUAUGUGAUAUUGUACAAAAACCAACAUAUAUUUUGUUAAUCAUUAAAACAUAGUUUGAUAUGUUAUCUUCAUAAUCCAAAACAUAGUUUUAAUAUCUUAUUUUCAAACCAAAACAUAGUUUAAUAUGUUAUUUAUAAAUCCAAAGUAUACUUUUGAUAUACUACUGAAAACUUAUUUAUGUUACCAACUAAAGUAUGGUUAAUAUACUAUUUACUUAAUGACUGGUUUUUGGUUAGUGUUUAGAUAACGGGACGGGUGUAAUGUGAUGAAAACAUGGUAGAUACGCCGGUGGUACUUCUUAUAUAUAAGUGUUUUCAUCGCAUUACAUACCGUGGCGUUAUUUAGUACACUUGGGUUAAUGGUUUUGGAACUAAAAUAUAUUUUAAUAUAUAACUUAUUCAACUUUCUUAAAACCGAAGUAUAUUUUUAUAUAUACUAUAAAUCUUUUUAUCAAGAUGUUGUUUAUCAAACAAUAUAUUUUAUGCAAACUCAUUUUACUUAAUUAUUUAAUUACCUAUGUAUUAUUAUUUUGUAUCAUCUAAUUUCUUAUAAAUUUUGGUAUGAUUUUUAAAAGAAAACCUUUUUCAAGGAUCAUGACUACUUUUAUUAAAACCUUUUCUUUAAACUUAUAAAUCAUGAAUCCUACAUCAAUAAAACCUAUGUAUCUCACAGGCAUUUUUAUGCUGACGUACCUAUUUUUACACAUGUUUCAGGUACUGCUAUGUGAUGAUUGAUGAUAUAUGCUAGAUGGACUCGUGCCUUAGCGACUUUAAAACUUGAAAGAUAAUAGUUGUAUUAUUUGAUUGUAUUAAAACAAUGAGUUCAUUUAUUCAAUAACACA